Molecule: transfer RNA, 61 nt
Filed under: Marmota marmota marmota (Alpine marmot)
Lineage: Eukaryota; Metazoa; Chordata; Mammalia; Rodentia; Sciuridae
Also listed under: 3 other names
Rfam family: tRNA
About the family: Transfer RNA (tRNA) molecules are approximately 80 nucleotides in length.
Source: Rfam by way of RNAcentral
UGUAGCUCAGUGGUAGAGCACUUGCCUCAAAGGUGUGAGGCCCUGGGUUUGAUCCUCAGCA